RNAcentral lists this ribosomal RNA (253 nucleotides) under uncultured prokaryote. RNAcentral's name for it is "partial 16S ribosomal RNA". It matches the Rfam family "Bacterial small subunit ribosomal RNA", at positions 525 to 777 of the family's 1533-position model. The record is from RNAcentral.
ACGUAGGAGACAAGCGUUAUCCGGAAUUACUGGGCGUAAAGGGCGGGUAGGCGGGUCGGUAAGUGGGUCGUGAAAGCCCCUGGCUAAACUGGGGGAGGUCGAUCCGGACUGCCGGUCUGGAGUUUCCCAGAGGCACAUGGAAUUCCGGGUGUAGUGGUGAAAUGCGUAGAGAUCCGGAGGAACACCAGUGGCGAAGGCGAUGUGCUGGGGGAAAACUGAUGCUGAUCCGCGACAGCAUGGGGAGCGAACGGGA